AGGGAUUGAACUCAGGGACACUUGACCACUGAGCCACAUUCCCAGACCUAUUUUGUAUUUUAUUUAGAGACAGGAUCUCAAAUGAGUUGCUUAGCACCUCGCUUUUGCCGAGGCUGGCUUUGAACUCGAAAGCCUCCUGCCUCAGCAUCCUGAACCAUUGAGAUUACAGGUGUGUGCCACUGCACCUGGCCCUUACGCACUUUUUCUUGAAAAUAAAUAUUUAGGUGCCCAAAUUAGACUCUUUAUUUCAUUACCCUUCUACAUUUUAACUGACUUAGGCAUGGGAAUAAAUUUUAGUGUCCACACGUGUAUAUGCACUCUCUAUGUCACACGCUCCAUGAAACCUCUAACAAGUUAACACCUCUUUAGGAACUUAUCUUUAUGUAGAGAAAGUUUGACUGAAUGAUUAUUAAUGCUUUUUGAGCUGCCAGGUCUUAUGUCUUGGUGAUAGCAUCUUUGUUUAUGCUAGUCAUCUCUUCUGUGGCUUUCUAAUGUUUCCAUUUUUGUCCUGCCCCAUGUCUGCCUCUACCCAGAAGACCAGCUGAUCUCUUAAAAAUGUAAAUUGGAUCCAGUGUUACCCUCUAGUCCCAGUUUUACCCCCAGUGGCUUAAAAUAAAAACCAGUCCCUUAUCAGGGCCUACAAAGUCCCGCAUAAUCCAGUUCUGGCUUACUUCACAACUUUAUCUCCUUUCCAUUGUUCCACCAAGCUCUAGUUACACUGUACUUGUGGUCUGGGAGUAUCUGGAAUUAAACCCAGGGUCUUGAGCAUACUAAGCAAGUGGUCUGCCACUGAGCUACAUACGUAGCUCCCACACUACUUUCUGAUCUUGGUCCAACAAGCCCUUUCAGUUUUAGUGCUUGCUGCUUUCUGUGGAGAACUUUCCCCAGCUCUCUGCAGUUACGCUUCGGUUUCAGCUAUAGAUCUCAGCCCAGAUAUCAUUAUUUUUAGUUUUUCUAGACCAUCUUAUAUAAAAGAGCAAUCCUCUACAUUGCCUUCAUAAUCCUUAUGAGUAAUUAUUUUUAUGCAGUUCUUUACCUUGCUUUCCCUCUUAAAUUGUAUCAGGAAAAUGGAAAUAUGUUGACUUUCCUACCUUAUUUCAGAUAGCCCAGGAAUUGGCAGGUGCUCAAAAAACUUUAAUUGAAAGAAAUGUAUAAGGUAUACAACAGUUUGUCCUUAUCAAUUCCCUUCAUAGGCUACUUAAACUAAUUUCUUAAGGUAUUAUACCUACCUGAGUAUAAUUUGUCAUUUUUUAUUUAGGACAUCUGUCUCUUGAGGACUGAUUCCUUCAUCUGGCUGCAUGUUAUUGAGAGCAAAAUGUUCUCAGUUACUGUAUGUUAGGGUUAAAUUGAGUAAUUAUGCACGAAAGGUUUUUAGCAAAGAUGGAAAGUUAAUCAAUAUGAGAAGUAAAUAGUUCACAGUGCCCAAAUGAAUGAUAUAGAUGAGUGUUCAUAGAGACAAAGGAAGAAGUCACAGCUCUAGUAGUCAGAAGAGGAAGUAAAAAUGAGGUGGGGUCAUUGCAUGAUAUUAAAGGAGUAUGUAAAUCUUAACAGUGAACCAUGGUGGGCAGCAAUACAGAAAUUGAAGUAAAUUCAAGAAAGUACUUUGCUUUAGCAGAUAAUUUGUGAAAUGGAUUCUAGGUCCUUAGUCCUUUAUCUAGAACUUUUCUUUCCAUUUAUUUACGAACUCAGGAUUUUGGAGUAAGAUUUGUUUGGGAUUUUAGUAAAAGUAAUGAGACAUUAUUAAUGUGAAAUAUAAAUAGUCAGAUUAAGUGGUUUAAAAAAUGUAAGGCACAGCAGUGCUCAGGUGAAAUUUUAUUGUUUAAAUUUUUAUUAGAUCAUGUUUUUCCACCAAAUUAGAUAUAAAACUUUUGGUUUUCAGAGAUUUGGAACUUCAGGAUGUCUAUGGGAAACAAUCCUGAAAUCAUUUGAAAAGGCAUUAUUCAUUAAUAUGUAUUUUGGGGGAAAUGUUAAGGCCUGAAAAUAUUACUUUUAAGCAAUUAAAUUAGAAACAUUCUGCCAAGUAAUUCUUUUUGAACCUGGCACAUAAAUUCUUAUAACAUGUAGUUCAUCUCCCAGUUGAUAAGGUUUCUAAGAAUUAUGUAAUGCCUAUAAUUAUAAAAUAGGAUACAUUAGAAGACUAGGAAUAUAUAGCUCAGUUGGCUUGCCUUGCAUGCAAAAGGCCGUGGGUUCAAUCUCUAGCACCACAAAAAACAAAAACAGUCUCUCUUUAGGAUAAAAAUUGUUGAUGGAAUCACUUGUUGUAAUAGUGACAAGGAAGAAGUAAAUAGCUGAAGAGGCUCUUUGGGAACUUAAAAUUGAUUACAGGAAGUGUCUAUAUGCUUUAUUUUCCCCCAUAUAUUCUGCUUAUUCUAGCAGCAUAAUUAACACCCAAACUUUGGUUUUCGUUUGCUUUUAUCCAUUCAUUUGGUAUAUAUACUAAUGUUCAAAAAUGGAAGCAUGUAUGUGUAUGAAUUUUUUUCCCUGAUAUUAAUUUUCUCUCUCAAUAAAAUUGUCCGGACAGACAUGUAGGAAAGCUACCCUUUUUUCAGGGGAAAGGAGGUACCAGGGAUUCAACUCAGGGACAGUAAGCAUAAACUGCUGCUUAGGUUGAGAUAUUAAAAUUGUUAAGAGAAAUUAUGGGAAGUGCUUGUGCUGCCACUGUUUGUUGUUGCUUGAGUAAUUUUUCUCCUCCAAACUUUUGGCAGGUUUACUAGGAAAUUUUCAUUUAGGAAUACCCUGGCCUUGAAGUUUUGUUCAGAAUGUGCAAUUUAAUCAUGCAGAUUAUGAAUCUACAAUUUAAAAUGAGGACAUUCUAUGUCUUCUUAAUUUGUUUGGAGAUAGUCAUAUUAAGCAUGUUAUUUAAUCCUAGUGAUGAGGUUAGUAGUAAAUGAAAA
RNAcentral lists this long non-coding RNA (2894 nucleotides) under Marmota monax (woodchuck). Lineage: Eukaryota; Metazoa; Chordata; Mammalia; Rodentia; Sciuridae. The record is from RNAcentral.